Molecule: ribosomal RNA, 497 nt
Filed under: uncultured bacterium
Lineage: Bacteria
Description: partial 16S ribosomal RNA
Rfam family: Bacterial small subunit ribosomal RNA
Source: RNAcentral
GAUGAACGCUGGCGGCGUGCCUAAUACAUGCAAGUCGAGCGAACAGACGAGGAGCUUGCUCCUCUGACGUUAGCGGCGGACGGGUGAGUAACACGUGGAUAACCUACCUAUAAGACUGGGAUAACUUCGGGAAACCGGAGCUAAUACCGGAUAAUAUAUUGAACCGCAUGGUUCAAUAGUGAAAGACGGUUUUGCUGUCACUGAUAGAUGGAUCCGCGCCGCAUUAGCUAGUUGGUAAGGUAACGGCUUACCAAGGCAACGAUGCGUAGCCGACCUGAGAGGGUGAUCGGCCACACUGGAACUGAGACACGGUCCAGACUCCUACGGGAGGCAGCAGUAGGGAAUCUUCCGCAAUGGGCGAAAGCCUGACGGAGCAACGCCGCGUGAGUGAUGAAGGUCUUCGGAUCGUAAAACUCUGUUAUUAGGGAAGAACAAAUGUGUAAGUAACUAUGCACGUAUUGACGGUACCUAAUCAGAAAGCCACGGCUAACUACGUG